Molecule: long non-coding RNA, 481 nt
Organism: Homo sapiens (human)
Lineage: Eukaryota; Metazoa; Chordata; Mammalia; Primates; Hominidae
Exons: 4
Source: RefSeq, a predicted model, not a curated record
CUUGCUCAAACCUGGCCGUUUCCUCAGUUGUGGUGGUUUUAAAACAUGUCUGCAAACCCUCAGACCUUCCUCUCAUUAAGAGGUAUGUGAGUGAGCAAACCAUGAGAGGAGUCCAGCCCUGGCCUUCCAGCCGUCCCAGCUGAGCGGAGAGACAGACAUGCUGUUCCUGCAGCAUCCUGGCCAAACUGCCAAUUCGAUUUCAAGGCAGUCUUCUCCCAAAAGAGAAUUCUGAGGCUGGCCCACUACAAUGUAUUUCUGCAGACAGAAGAUGAGAACAAGGCCAAAUGAUCAGUUGUGGCAUCUUUCAGUCAUAAGUUCAAUGAUUCUGGGCACAAGGCAAGGAGCCCUCUAAGGGAAGGAAGUCAUUCAUCGAAAUUAGAGCCACAGGCGGCUGAGGACAGGGCCAGGGACCAGCAGAGAUUCUGGACAAGGUGACUGUCUGGUUGGCACCUGGGCUCUUCCCCUGCUGAAUCUUUCUCUU